GACGAACGCUGGCGGCGUGCUUAACACAUGCAAGUCGAGCGGAAAGGCCCUUCGGGGUACUCGAGCGGCGCACGGGUGAGUAACACGUGAGUAACCUGCCCCAGACUUUGGGAUAACCCUCGGAAACGGGGGCUAAUACCGGAUACGACACAGCUUCGCAUGGGGUCUGUGUGGAAAGUUUUUCGGUUUGGGAUGGGCUCGCGGCCUAUCAGCUUGUUGGUGGGGUGAUGGCCUACCAAGGCGACGACGGGUAGCCGGCCUGAGAGGGCGACCGGCCACACUGGGACUGAGACACGGCCCAGACUCCUACGGGAGGCAGCAGUGGGGAAUAGUGCACAAUGGGCGGAAGCCUGAUGCAGCGACGCCGCGUGAGGGAUGACGGCCUUCGGGUUGUAAACCUCUUUCAGCAGGGACGAAGCGUAAGUGACGGUACCUGCAGAAGAAGCGCCGGCCAACUACGUG
Molecule: ribosomal RNA, 462 nt
Filed under: uncultured bacterium
Lineage: Bacteria
Description: partial 16S ribosomal RNA
Rfam family: Bacterial small subunit ribosomal RNA
Source: RNAcentral